This 303-nucleotide ribosomal RNA is filed under the name uncultured bacterium. RNAcentral describes it as "partial 16S ribosomal RNA". It matches the Rfam family "Bacterial small subunit ribosomal RNA", at positions 507 to 809 of the family's 1533-position model. The record is from RNAcentral.
AGCAGUAGCCGCGGGAAUACGUAGGUGGCAAGCGUUGUCCGGAAUUAUUGGGCGUAAAGGGCUCGCAGGCGGUUUCUUAAGUCUGAUGUGAAAGCCCCCGGCUCAACCGGGGAGGGUCAUUGGAAACUGGGAAACUUGAGUGCAGAAGAGGAGAGUGGAAUUCCACGUGUAACGGUGAAAUGCGUAGAGAUGUGGAGGAACACCAGUGGCGAAGGCGACUCUCUGGUCUGUAACUGACGCUGAGGAGCGAAAGCGUGGGGAGCGAACAGGAUUAGAUACCCCCGUAGUCCCUGUCUCUUAUCC